CAUUACAGAGUUCAUGCCCGAAAGGGUAGACCUCCCACCCUUGUGUAUUAUUACUUUGUUGCUUUGGCGAGCUGCCUUCGGGCCUUGUAUGCUCGCCAGAGAAUACCAAAACUCUUUUUAUUAAUGUCGUCUGAGUACUAUAUAAUAGUUAAAACUUUCAACAACGGAUCUCUUGGUUCUGGCAUCGAUGAAGAACGCAGCGAAAUGCGAUAAGUAAUGUGAAUUGCAGAAUUCAGUGAAUCAUCGAAUCUUUGAACGCACAUUGCGCCCCUUGGUAUUCCGGGGGGCAUGCCUGUUCGAGCGUCAUUUCAACCCUCAAGCUUAGCUUGGUAUUGAGUCUAUGUCAGUAAUGGCAGGCUCUAAAAUCAGUGGCGGCGCCGCUGGGUCCUGAACGUAGUAAUAUCUCUCGUUACAGGUUCUCGGUGUGCUUCUGCCAAAACCCAAAUUUUUCUAUGGUUGACCUCGGAUCAGGUAGGGAUACCCGCUGAACUUAAGCAUAUCA
Molecule: ribosomal RNA, 502 nt
Filed under: Botrytis sp. ID5-5
Lineage: Eukaryota; Fungi; Ascomycota; Leotiomycetes; Helotiales; Sclerotiniaceae
Description: eukaryotic LSU rRNA
Rfam family: 5.8S ribosomal RNA (bases 153-306)
Source: RNAcentral